RNAcentral lists this transfer RNA (83 nucleotides) under Bradyrhizobiaceae bacterium. It matches the Rfam family "tRNA". Rfam says of the family: Transfer RNA (tRNA) molecules are approximately 80 nucleotides in length. Their secondary structure includes four short double-helical elements and three loops (D, anti-codon, and T loops). Further hydrogen bonds mediate the characteristic L-shaped molecular structure. tRNAs have two regions of fundamental functional importance: the anti-codon, which is responsible for specific mRNA codon recognition, and the 3' end, to which the tRNAs corresponding amino acid is attached (by aminoacyl-tRNA synthetases). tRNAs cope with the degeneracy of the genetic code in two manners: having more than one tRNA (with a specific anti-codon) for a particular amino acid; and 'wobble' base-pairing, i.e. permitting non-standard base-pairing at the 3rd anti-codon position. Lineage: Bacteria; Pseudomonadati; Pseudomonadota; Alphaproteobacteria; Hyphomicrobiales; Nitrobacteraceae. The record is from Rfam by way of RNAcentral.
GCCCCCUUGAUGGAAUUGGUAGACAUACAAGACUUAAAAUCUUGAGUCCUCUGGGCGUGCCGGUUCGAGUCCGGCAGGGGGCA